Molecule: ribosomal RNA, 253 nt
Filed under: uncultured bacterium
Lineage: Bacteria
Description: partial 16S ribosomal RNA
Rfam family: Bacterial small subunit ribosomal RNA
Source: RNAcentral
UACGUAGGGUGCAAGCGUUAAUCGGAAUUACUGGGCGUAAAGCGUGCGCAGGCGGUUGUGCAAGACAGGUGUGAAAUCCCCGGGCUUAACCUGGGAACUGCACUUGUGACUGCACAGCUGGAGUACGGCAGAGGGGGAUGGAAUUCCGCGUGUAGCAGUGAAAUGCGUAGAUAUGCGGAGGAACACCGAUGGCGAAGGCAGUCCCCUGGGCCUGUACUGACGCUCAUGCACGAAAGCGUGGGGAGCAAACGGG